This 404-nucleotide ribosomal RNA is filed under the name Actinomycetes bacterium. RNAcentral describes it as "Actinobacteria bacterium partial 16S ribosomal RNA". It matches the Rfam family "Bacterial small subunit ribosomal RNA", at positions 355 to 776 of the family's 1533-position model. Lineage: Bacteria; Bacillati; Actinomycetota; Actinomycetes. The record is from RNAcentral.
UGGGGAAUAUUGGACAAUGGGCGCAAGCCUGAUCCAGCCAUGCCGCGUGAGUGAUGAAGGCUCUAGGGUUGUAAAGCUCUUUCUCCGGUGAAGAUAAUGAUGGUAACCGGAGAAGAAGCCCCGGCUAACUUCGUGCCAGCAGCCGCGGUAAUACGAAGGGGGCUAGCGUUGUUCGGAUUUACUGGGCGUAAAGCGCACGUAGGCGGACUUUUAAGUCAGGGGUGAAAUCCCGGGGCUCAACCCCGGAACUGCCUUUGAUACUGGAAGUCUUGGGUAUGGUAGAGGUGUGUGGAAUUCCGAGUGUAGAGGUGAAAUUCGUAGAUAAUCGGAGGAAAACCAGGGGAGAAGGCGGCUCAAUGGACCAUUACUGACGCUGAGGUGCGAAAGACUGGGGAGCAAACAGG